GAUGAACGCUGGCGGCGUGCCUAACACAUGCAAGUCGAACGGAAAGACCCGGCUUUUGUGGGUUUCUCGAGUGGCGAACGGGUGAGUAACACGUGUGUAAACCCUCCUUAUCUUUCUGAUAACUUCACGGAACUGGGGCUAAUAUCGGGUAGGAUCUAUUGCUGCACGUUGGGCAUUGGUAAGUUUCGGCGGUUGGGGAUGGACUCGCAGCUUACCCGCUUGAUCGGGGGGUAGUUGCUGACCAAGGCUUUCACGGGUAGCCGGCCUGAGAGGCUUACCGGCCACCUUGAGACUGAGAGACGGCACAGACUGGUACGGGACGCAACAGUGGGGAAUAUUGCAGAAUAAGCGGGAGCCUGAUGCGGCAGCGCCGCGUUCGGGAAGACGGCCUUCGGGUGGUAAACCGAUUUCGCAUGUGACGAAGCGUGAGUGACGGUAACGGGUAAAGAAGCCCCGGCUAACUACGUG
RNAcentral lists this ribosomal RNA (468 nucleotides) under uncultured bacterium. RNAcentral describes it as "partial 16S ribosomal RNA". It matches the Rfam family "Bacterial small subunit ribosomal RNA", at positions 28 to 507 of the family's 1533-position model. The record is from RNAcentral.